AUUGAACGCUGGCGGCAGGCCUAACACAUGCCAGUCGAACGGUAACAGGAAGCAGCUUGCUGCUUUGCUGACGAGUGGCGGACGGGUGAGUAAUGUCUGGGAAACUGCCUGAUGGAGGGGGAUAACUACUGGAAACGGUAGCUAAUACCGCAUAACGUCGCAAGACCAAAGAGGGGGACAUUCGGGCCUCUUGCCAUCGGAUGUGCCCAGAUGGGAUUAGCUAGUAGGUGGGGUAACGGCUCACCUAGGCGACGAUCCCUAGCUGGUCUGAGAGGAGGACCAGCCACACUGGAACUGAGACACGGUCCAGACUCCUACGGGAGGCAGCAGUGGGGAAUAUUGCACAAUGGGCGCAAGCCUUAUGCAGCGCUGCCGCGUGUAUGAAGAAGGCCUUCGGGUUGUAAAGUACUUUCAGCGGGGAGGAAGGGAGUAAAGUUAAUACCUUUGCUCAUUGACGUUACCCGCAGAAGAAGCACCGGCUAACUCCGUG
RNAcentral lists this ribosomal RNA (490 nucleotides) under uncultured bacterium. RNAcentral's name for it is "partial 16S ribosomal RNA". It matches the Rfam family "Bacterial small subunit ribosomal RNA", at positions 30 to 507 of the family's 1533-position model. The record is from RNAcentral.